CCUACGGGUGGCAGCAGUGAGGAAUAUUGGUCAAUGGACGAGAGUCUGAACCAGCCAAGUAGCGUGAAGGAUGACUGCCCUAUGGGUUGUAAACUUCUUUUAUAUGGGAAUAAAAUGUUCCACGUGUGGGAUUUUGUAUGUACCAUAUGAAUAAGGAUCGGCUAACUCCGUGCCAGCAGCCGCGGUAAUACGGAGGAUCCGAGCGUUAUCCGGAUUUAUUGGGUUUAAAGGGAGCGUAGGUGGAUUGUUAAGUCAGUUGUGAAAGUUUGCGGCUCAACCGUAAAAUUGCAGUUGAAACUGGCAGUCGUGAGUACAGUAGAGGUGGGCGGAAUUCGUGGUGUAGCGGUGAACUGCUUAGAUAUCACGAAGAACUCCGAUUGCGAAGGCAGCUCACUGGACUGCAACUGACACUGAGGCUCGAAAGUGUGGGUAUCAAACAGGAUUAGAUACCCCGGUAGUC
Molecule: ribosomal RNA, 460 nt
Filed under: uncultured bacterium
Lineage: Bacteria
Description: partial 16S ribosomal RNA
Rfam family: Bacterial small subunit ribosomal RNA
Source: RNAcentral